CUGUCUCUUGCUUCAACAGUGUUUCGACGGAACAG
Myotis brandtii (Brandt's bat) is the source of this 35-nucleotide non-coding RNA. The record is from Rfam. Lineage: Eukaryota; Metazoa; Chordata; Mammalia; Chiroptera; Vespertilionidae.